This 253-nucleotide ribosomal RNA is filed under the name uncultured bacterium. RNAcentral describes it as "partial 16S ribosomal RNA". It matches the Rfam family "Bacterial small subunit ribosomal RNA", at positions 524 to 776 of the family's 1533-position model. The record is from RNAcentral.
UACGUAGGGGGCAAGCGUUGUCCGGAUUUAUUGGGCGUAAAGAGCGUGUAGGCGGCCACACAGGUCAGCUGUGAAAACUCGAGGCUCAACCUCGAGACGUCGGUUGAAACCGUAUGGCUAGAGUCCGGAAGAGGAGAGUGGAAUUCCCGGUGUAGCGGUGAAAUGCGCAGAUAUCGGGAAGAACACCCGUGGCGAAGGCGGCUCUCUGGGACGGUACUGACGCUGAGACGCGAAAGCGCGGGGAGCGAACAGG